Molecule: ribosomal RNA, 459 nt
Filed under: uncultured bacterium
Lineage: Bacteria
Description: partial 16S ribosomal RNA
Rfam family: Bacterial small subunit ribosomal RNA
Source: RNAcentral
CCUACGGGAUGCAGCAGUGAGGAAUAUUGGUCAAUGGCCGGAAGGCUGAACCAGCCAAGCCGCGUGAAGGACGAAGGUGCCAAGCAUUGUAAACUUCUUUUGUCAAGGGACAAAAUCAGGCUCGAGAGCCUGACCGAGGGUCCUUGAAGAAAACACAUCGGCUAACUCCGUGCCAGCAGCCGCGGUAAUACGGGGGAUGCGAGCGUUGUCCGGAUUUAUGGGGGUUAACGGGUGCGUCGGAGGACGUUUAAGUCAGCGGUAAAAUGCCGGGGCUCAACCCGGGCGAGCCGUUGAAACUGGCUGUCUGGAGAUGUCGAGAGGUAUGCGGAAUGCGCAGUGUAGCGGUGAAAUGCUUAGAUAUUGCGCAGAACUCCGAUUGCGAAGGCAGCAGACCGGCGGAGAUCUGACGCUGAGGCACGAAAGCGUGGGUAUCGAACAGGAUUAGAUACCCGAGUAGUC